Molecule: ribosomal RNA, 495 nt
Filed under: uncultured bacterium
Lineage: Bacteria
Description: partial 16S ribosomal RNA
Rfam family: Bacterial small subunit ribosomal RNA
Source: RNAcentral
GACGAACGCUGGCGGCGUGCCUAAUACAUGCAAGUAGAACGCUGAAGGAGGAGCUUGCUUCUCCGGAUGAGUUGCGAACGGGUGAGUAACGCGUAGGUAACCUGCCUGGUAGCGGGGGAUAACUAUUGGAAACGAUAGCUAAUACCGCAUAACAGUAGAUAUUGCAUGAUAUCUGCUUGAAAGGUGCAAUUGCAUCACUACCAGAUGGACCUGCGUUGUAUUAGCUAGUUGGUGGGGUAACGGCUCACCAAGGCGACGAUACAUAGCCGACCUGAAAGGGUGAUCGGCCACACUGGGACUGAGACACGGCCCAGACUCCUACGGGAGGCAGCAGUAGGGAAUCUUCGGCAAUGGACGGAAGUCUGACCGAGCAACGCCGCGUGAGUGAAGAAGGGUUUCGGAUCGUAAAGCUCUGUUGUAAGAGAAGAACGAGUGUGAGAGUGGAAAGUUCACACUGUGACGGUAUCUUACCAGAAAGGGACGGCUAACUACGUG